Molecule: ribosomal RNA, 460 nt
Filed under: uncultured bacterium
Lineage: Bacteria
Description: partial 16S ribosomal RNA
Rfam family: Bacterial small subunit ribosomal RNA
Source: RNAcentral
UCUACGGGUGGCAGCAGUGAGGAAUAUUGGUCAAUGGACGAGAGUCUGAACCAGCCAAGUAGCGUGAAGGAUGACUGCCCUAUGGGUUGUAAACUUCUUUUAUAUGGGAAUAAAAUGUUCCACGUGUGGGAUUUUGUAUGUACCAUAUGAAUAAGGAUCGGCUACCUCCGUGCCAGCAGCCGCGGUAAUACGGAGGAUCCGAGCGUUAUCCGGAUUUUUUGGGUUUAAAGGGAGCGUAGGUGGAUGAUGAAGUCAGUUUUGAAAGUCUAGGGCGCAACCUUGGAACUGCAGUUGAAACUGGGUGUCAUGAGUGCAGUAGAGGUGAGCGGAAUUCGUGGUGUAGCGGUGAAAUGCGUAGAUAUCACGAAGAACUCUGAUGGCGAAGGCAGCUCACUGGACUGUAACUGACAUUGAGGCUCGAAAGCGUGGGGAGCAAACAGGAUUAGAUACCCUUGUAGUC